This 491-nucleotide ribosomal RNA is filed under the name uncultured bacterium. Its description in RNAcentral is "partial 16S ribosomal RNA". It matches the Rfam family "Bacterial small subunit ribosomal RNA", at positions 29 to 506 of the family's 1533-position model. The record is from RNAcentral.
AGUGAACGCUGGCGGUAGGCCUAACACAUGCAAGUCGAACGGCAGCACAGUAAGAGUUUGCUCUUACGGGUGGCGAGUGGCGGACGGGUGAGGAAUACAUCGGAACCUACUUUUUCGUGGGGGAUAACGUAGGGAAACUUACGCUAAUACCGCAUACGACCUACGGGUGAAAGCAGGGGAUCUUUGGACCUUGCGCGAUUGAAAGAGCCGAUGUCGGAUUAGCUAGUUGGCGGGGUAAAGGCCCACCAAGGCGACGAUCCGUAGCUGGUCUGAGAGGAUGAUCAGCCACACUGGAACUGAGACACGGUCCAGACUCCUACGGGAGGCAGCAGUGAGGAAUGUUGGACAAUGGGCGCAAGCCUGAUCCAGCCAUACCGCGUGGGUGAAGAAGGCCUUCGGGUUGUAAAGCCCUUUUGUUGGGAAAGAAAAGCAGCAGGUUAAUACCCCGCUGUUCUGACGGUACCCAAAGAAUAAGCACCGGCUAACUUCGU